RNAcentral lists this transfer-messenger RNA (351 nucleotides) under Aminomonas paucivorans. RNAcentral describes it as "Standard tmRNA". It matches the Rfam family "transfer-messenger RNA". From Rfam's summary of the family: Bacterial tmRNA, also known as 10Sa RNA or SsrA, is named for its dual tRNA and mRNA-like properties. Its role is to liberate the mRNA from a stalled ribosome. To accomplish this part of the tmRNA is used as a reading frame that ends in a translation stop signal. Lineage: Bacteria; Thermotogati; Synergistota; Synergistia; Synergistales; Synergistaceae. The record is from RNAcentral. RNAcentral also lists the same sequence under 1 other name.
GGGGGCGAACGGUUUCGACGGCAGGACGGAGGGCACAGAAGCGCGGGUCGAGGCUGGGGCAUCCUCGCUAAUCAGGCUCCACAAGCAAAACGCCAACGAUAACUACGCUCUGGCUGCUUAAGUAGCAGUCACGUUCCUCGGAGCUUCGCCACCGGGCUCCGAAGGGGCGACACGAAGGUGGCUGGGUUGUCGCAGCUUGUUUCCCGAGCGACGCCGAGACUCUAGGGGAACUGGAACGGAGGGAUCCCGUCCGUGGGAGCCCCGAGUUUGAGACCAAAUCGCGGACUACACCCGUAGGGCUUCUGGGCUGGCCCCUGUCGGACGGGGGUUCGAUUCCCCCCGCCUCCACCA